RNAcentral lists this ribosomal RNA (1018 nucleotides) under fungal endophyte. Its description in RNAcentral is "eukaryotic LSU rRNA". The stretch from base 451 to 1018 matches the Rfam family "Eukaryotic large subunit ribosomal RNA", at positions 1 to 581 of the family's 3401-position model. Lineage: Eukaryota; Fungi. The record is from RNAcentral.
GAGUCUUCUGAACUCCAAACCACUGUGAACAUACCACUGUUCCUUUAGCGGGUUCCCGGCCUCGGCCGCCCCGCCGGAGGAUACAAACUCUGUUUUCUAACGAAUCUUCUGAGUCUUAAAAUAAGCAAUCAAAACUUUCAGCAACGGAUCUCUUGGCUCUGGCAUCGAUGAAGAACGCAGCGAAAUGCGAUAAGUAAUGUGAAUUGCAGAAUUCAGUGAAUCAUCGAAUCUUUGAACGCACAUUGCGCCCACCAGCACUCUGGUGGGCAUGCCCGUCUGAGCGUCAUUUCAACCCUCAGGGCCCGUCCGCGGGACCUGGCGUUGGGGAUCAGCCUCCUGGCUGGCCCUGAAAUCUAGUGGCGGUCCCUCCGCGACCUCCCCUGUGCAGUAGUAAUACCUCGCAGCGGGAAAGCGGUUCGACCACGCCGUAAAACCCCCACUUCUCAAGGUUGACCUCAGAUCGGGUAGGAAUACCCGCUGAACUUAAGCAUAUCAAUAAGCGGAGGAAAAGAAACCAACAGGGAUUGCCCCAGUAACGGCGAGUGAAGCGGCAACAGCUCAAAUUUGAAAUCUGGCCCUAGGCCCGAGUUGUAAUUUGCAGAGGAUGUUUCUGGCGACGCGCCUUCCGAGUUCCCUGGAACGGGACGCCAAAGAGGGUGAGAGCCCCGUCCGGUCGUGCGCCUAGCCUCUGUGAAGCUCCUUCGACGAGUCGAGUAGUUUGGGAAUGCUGCUCUAAAUGGGAGGUAUACGUCUUCUAAAGCUAAAUACCGGCCAGAGACCGAUAGCGCACAAGUAGAGUGAUCGAAAGAUGAAAAGCACUUUGAAAAGAGGGUUAAAAAGUACGUGAAAUUGCUGAAAGGGAAGCGCUUAUGACCAGACUUGGGCCCGGUGAAUCACCCAGCGUUCUCGCUGGUGCACUUUGCCGACCCAGGCCAGCAUCAGUUUGCCUCGGGGGAUAAAGGUUUCGGGAAUGUGGCUCCCUCGGGAGUGGAUAGCCCGUUGCGUAAUACCCUGGGGC